CCUACGGGAGGCAGCAGUAGGGAAUAUUGCUCAAUGGGGGAAACCCUGAAGCAGCAACGCCGCGUGGAGGAUGAAGGUUUUCGGAUUGUAAACUCCUUUUGUUAGAGAAGAUAAUGACGGUAUCUAACGAAUAAGCACCGGCUAACUCCGUGACAGCAGCCGCGGUAAUACGGAGGGUGCAAGCGUUAAUCGGAAUCACUGGGCGUAAAGAGCGCGUAGGCGGGAUAGCAAGUCAGAUGUGAAAUCCUAUGGCUUAACCAUAGAACUGCAUUUGAAACUGUUAUUCUAGAGUAUGGGAGAGGUAGGUGGAAUUCUUGGUGGAGCGGUAAAAUGCGUAGAGAUCAAGAAGAACACCGAUUGCGAAGGCGACCUGCUAGAACAUAACUGACGCUGAUGCGCGAAAGCGUGGGGAGCAAACAGGAUUAGAUACCCGAGUAGUC
RNAcentral lists this ribosomal RNA (440 nucleotides) under uncultured bacterium. RNAcentral's name for it is "partial 16S ribosomal RNA". It matches the Rfam family "Bacterial small subunit ribosomal RNA", at positions 338 to 795 of the family's 1533-position model. The record is from RNAcentral.